Molecule: ribosomal RNA, 484 nt
Filed under: uncultured bacterium
Lineage: Bacteria
Description: partial 16S ribosomal RNA
Rfam family: Bacterial small subunit ribosomal RNA
Source: RNAcentral
AUUGAACGCUGGCGGCAGGCCUAACACAUGCAAGUCGAGCGGAUGAAGGGAGCUUGCUCCUGGAUUCAGCGGCGGACGGGUGAGUAAUGCCUAGGAAUCUGCCUGGUAGUGGGGGAUAACGUCCGGAAACGGGCGCUAAUACCGCAUACGUCCUGAGGGAGAAAGUGGGGGAUCUUCGGACCUCACGCUAUCAGAUGAGCCUAGGUCGGAUUAGCUAGUUGGUGGGGUAAAGGCCUACCAAGGCGACGAUCCGUAACUGGUCUGAGAGGAUGAUCAGUCACACUGGAACUGAGACACGGUCCAGACUCCUACGGGAGGCAGCAGUUGGGAAUGUUGGACAAUGGGCGAAAGCCUGAUCCAGCCGUGCCGCGUGUGUGAAGAAGGUCUUCGGAUUGGAAAGCAGUUUAAGUGGGGAGGAAGGGCAGUAAGUUAAUACCUUGCUGUUUUGACGUUACCUACAGAAUAAGCACCGGCUAACUACGUG